Molecule: non-coding RNA, 131 nt
Organism: Streptomyces incarnatus
Lineage: Bacteria; Bacillati; Actinomycetota; Actinomycetes; Kitasatosporales; Streptomycetaceae
Source: Rfam
UUGCGCACUCCGGGGUCGGUGUAAUUCCGAACCGGCGGUAAUAGUCCGCGACCCGGCCGCAGCCAGCGGCUGGUUGACCAGGUGGAAUUCCUGGACCGACGGUGAAAGUCCGGAAGGGAGGCAGUGCGCGG